CAAAGGUGAGCCAGUACAGGAUGGACCCGCGUCUGAUUAGCUAGUUGGUAAGGUAACGGCUUACCAAGGCGACGAUCAGUAGCCGACCUGAGAGGGUGAUCGGCCACAUUGGAACUGAGACACGGUCCAAACUCCUACGGGAGGCAGCAGUGGGGAAUAUUGCACAAUGGGCGAAAGCCUGAUGCAGCAACGCCGCGUGAGUGAUGAAGGCCUUCGGGUCGUAAAACUCUGUCCUCAAGGAAGAUAAUGACGGUACUUGAGGAGGAAGCCCCGGCUAACUACGUGCCAGCAGCCGCGGUAAUACGUAGGGGGCUAGCGUUAUCCGGACUUACUGGGCGUAAAGGGUGCGUAGGCGGUCUUUCAAGUCAGGAGUGAAAGGCUACGGCUCAACCGUAGUAAGCUCUUGAAACUGGGAGACUUGAGUGCAGGAGAGGAGAGUGGAAUUCCUAGUGUAGCGGUGAAAUGCGUAGAUAUUAGGAGGAACACCAGUUGCGAAGGCGGCUCUCUGGACUGUAACUGACGCUGAGGCACGAAAGCGUGGGGAGCAGACAGGAUUAGAUACCCUGGUAGUCCACGCUGUAAACGAUGAGUACUAGGUGUCGGGGGUUACCCCCUUCG
This 618-nucleotide ribosomal RNA is filed under the name uncultured bacterium. Its description in RNAcentral is "bacterial SSU rRNA". It matches the Rfam family "Bacterial small subunit ribosomal RNA", at positions 202 to 842 of the family's 1533-position model. The record is from RNAcentral.